This 468-nucleotide ribosomal RNA is filed under the name uncultured bacterium. RNAcentral describes it as "partial 16S ribosomal RNA". It matches the Rfam family "Bacterial small subunit ribosomal RNA", at positions 28 to 507 of the family's 1533-position model. The record is from RNAcentral.
GACGAACGCUGGCGGCGUGCUUAACACAUGCAAGUCGAACGGAAAGGCCCUGCUUUUUUGGGGUGCUCGAGUGGCGAACGGGUGAGUAACACGUGAGUUACCUGCCCUUGACUUUGGGAUAACUUCAGGAAACUUGGGCUAAUACCGGAUAGGAGCUCCUGCUGCAUGGUGGGGGUUGGAAAGUUUCGGCGGUUGGGGAUGGACUCGCGGCUUAUCAGCUUGUUGGUGGGGUAGUGGCUUACCAAGGCUUUGACGGGUAGCCGGCCUGAGAGGGUGACCGGCCACAUUGGGACUGAGAUACGGCCCAGACUCCUACGGGAGGCAGCAGUGGGGAAUAUUGCACAAUGGGCGGAAGCCUGAUGCAGCAACGCCGCGUGCGGGAUGACGGCCUUCGGGUUGUAAACCGCUUUCGCCUGUGACGAAGCGUGAGUGACGGUAAUGGGUAAAGAAGCACCGGCUAACUACGUG